AUCAAAAGGAAAAGGAAAUAUUGAAGAGAGUGUAUAACAUGAAGAGAAGAGUGUUGUUUGGUAGCCAAGGAUGACUUGCCUGCUGUGCUGCCGCGCGCUCCUAAUUCCAAUCCAAUCCACGAGGUGGCAGUACGUAAGUACUCACUCUCCUACGUGUUGUUGGGUUCUCCGCAGCAGCCACCAGGCAGUCUCCUUUGGCUAACUUGACARCCUCUUCUUCUCAUGCUAUACCCUUCUCUUCUUCUUCUUCUUCUUCUUCUUC
Molecule: microRNA precursor, 262 nt
Filed under: Malus domestica (apple)
Lineage: Eukaryota; Viridiplantae; Streptophyta; Magnoliopsida; Rosales; Rosaceae
Source: RNAcentral